AACGGUACGAGGCCACGCGUCCAAACAUAACAACAGAACCGUUCUGUGGAUGGCAAUUACGAAACACAUAUGAAUUAAUUAUAUUUGCAUCCGAUGUGACGAGGGUUAAUGUGUUACAAACCAUUGUUGGAACCUCCAAACGCUCUCCACAAUCUCCACGCAUCAGUUUGCGUCGGAAGUAACUAGGCGAUAUAGAAAUUCAGAAAACGAAAUCCAAUUCGGGCUGCAUCAUCAAUUUCAGUCUCGAUAUUAAAUGUUCAUUUUGCGAGCUAGCGAAAAAUAAUCCACCACUCUGGCGAGAGAUCAAGCGAUGAAUAUAUAUGUACAAUGCACAUAUAUCCAAAUACUUUGGCUGACGGAAUAACUGUGCGACUGACUGACUGGCAGUCAGUUCAGUGGCAAGAUUUCAGCUUGCUCGGUCUACGAUACGAAAAUGUAUAUACAACAUUCCCGUAACUUUUCAUAGACGACAACACCAAAAACAAAUCAGCAGCGUACACUCACACACCACAUUUUGAACUCUGGAAUAUAUUACCAUCAUGAAAGCAAAUAUUUUUGUGAGUCACUUAAAAAUCCAGUUAAUAAAGAAAUCCAAACAUUAAAAAAAUUAUUGGAUUUUCCUUAUCCUAGUCUCUCAAUAUACUCUAAUUCUGGCUGAUGCUGCUGUUGUUUAUUGCACAGAAUGCUUAACGAAGCAUGCAAAAUGUGAUGGCAGUUACAGCAGCACCAUCCUACCUCGCUUUUACCUCCCUCGUUUUGGGGCAAAUUGCAGCAGAUGAUGGCAAGAUGCAAACCAGACUUGGCAUGUGCCAAAGGCAUUUGGGCAAUGCAGGUUAAAUAAGGCAUGACAUGGGCGUGGCAUGUGCAGCUUAUUAGUAAGAAGGGAGCGGUCUAGAGAAUAUGGGAAUGUAAUGGAAACUCCAGGGAAAUCUAGCUACACUUCACAUUUGAAUUAUCUUGA
Long non-coding RNA from Drosophila gunungcola (fruit fly), 961 nucleotides. RefSeq lists it as uncharacterized. The transcript has 3 exons. The record is from RefSeq and is a predicted model, not a curated record. NCBI's taxonomy places the organism in Eukaryota, Metazoa, Arthropoda, Insecta, Diptera, Drosophilidae.